Molecule: microRNA, 20 nt
Filed under: Oryza sativa (Asian cultivated rice)
Lineage: Eukaryota; Viridiplantae; Streptophyta; Magnoliopsida; Poales; Poaceae
Description: osa-miR2868
Source: miRBase by way of RNAcentral
UUGGUUUUGUGUAGUAGAAA